RNAcentral lists this ribosomal RNA (253 nucleotides) under uncultured bacterium. RNAcentral describes it as "partial 16S ribosomal RNA". It matches the Rfam family "Bacterial small subunit ribosomal RNA", at positions 524 to 776 of the family's 1533-position model. The record is from RNAcentral.
GACAGAGGGUGCAAACGUUGCUCGGAAUUACUGGGCGUAAAGCGCGUGUAGGCGGACUGGUAAGUCAGACGUGAAAUCCCUGGGCUCAACCCAGGAACUGCGUUUGAAACUGCCGGCCUUGAGUAACGGAGAGGAAAGCGGAAUUCCUGGUGUAGAGGUGAAAUUCGUAGAUAUCAGGAGGAACACCGGUGGCGAAGGCGGCUUUCUGGACGUUCACUGACGCUGAGACGCGAAAGCGUGGGGAGCAAACAGG